This 58-nucleotide microRNA precursor is filed under the name Nautilus pompilius. Its description in RNAcentral is "Npo-Mir-29-P2_pre stem-loop". Lineage: Eukaryota; Metazoa; Mollusca; Cephalopoda; Nautilida; Nautilidae. The record is from RNAcentral.
CCUGGUCUCUCUUGGUGCGUAGAUUAAUUGUCGCUCUAGCACCAUUUGAAAUCAGUUU